Molecule: ribosomal RNA, 1642 nt
Filed under: metagenome
Description: bacterial LSU rRNA
Rfam family: Bacterial large subunit ribosomal RNA
Source: RNAcentral
AGAAUGCCGGCAUGAGUAGCGCAAAACAUGUGAGAACCAUGUUCCCCGUAAACCUAAGGUUUCCGACGGAAGGUCAGUCCGCGUCGGGUUAGUCGGGCCUUAGCCGAGGCCGAAAGGCGUAGGCGAUGGACAUCCGGUUAAUAUUCCGGAACCACUCAAGUGGAGCGAUGAAGGGACGCGGCGUGGUAGGUCAGCCUCUUAACGGAUUGAGGUGCCAAACGCGUAGGACGUUGAAGGGUGUAGGUAAGUCCGCACCCCGAGUCCGAAACGUGAUGGCGGUGCCUUAGAGCCACAAGUGAUUGAGCCAUGCCGCCUAGAAAAGCUUCUAAGCGUUGAUAUUUGAGUGACCGUACCGCAAACCGACACUGGUAGGUGGGUAGAAUAUACCAAGGGGAGCGAGAGAACCCUCGUUAAGGAAUUAGGCAAAUUUCCCCCGUACGUUCGCAAUAAGGGGGGCCUCUGGUGGUGAGCUUAAUCGCAAAGCUGCUGGAGGCCGCAGAGAAAUGGCUCUUCCAACUGUUUAACAAAAACACAGGUCUCUGCUAAGUCGAAAGACGAAGUAUAGGGGCUGACGCCUGCCCAGUGCUGGAAGGUUAAGGGGAGAGGUUAGGCGCAAGCCGAAGCUUUGAGCCGAAGCCCCAGUGAACGGCGGCCGUAACUAUAACGGUCCUAAGGUAGCGAAAUUCCUUGUCGGGUAAGUUCCGACCCGCACGAAUGGCGUAAUGAGAGGAGCACUGUCUCAACGAGGGACUCGGCGAACAUUGAAGGACGUGCGAAGAUACACGUGACCCGCAGCGGGACAAAAAGACCCCGUGAAGCUUUACUACAACUUGCCAUUGAGUUAGGGCUAAACCUGUGUAGUAUAGGUGGGAGGCUUUGAAGCUGGGACGCCAGUCUCGGUGGAGCCACCGUUGAAAUACCACCCUGGUUUAUUCUUGGCUCUAACCUGUCGCCGUUAUCCGGCAUGGGAACAGUGGCUGGUGGGUAGUUUGACUGGGGCGGUCGCCUCCGAAAGCGUAACAGAGGCGCCCAAAGGUUCCCUCAGGCUGAAUGGAAACCAGCCGUUGAGUGUAAAGGCACAAGGGAGCUUGACUGCAAGACCAACAAGUCGCGCAGGGACGAAAGUCGGGCUUAGUGAUCCCACGGUUCAGAGUGGAAUGGCCGUGGCUUACCGGAUAAAAGCUACUCCGGGGAUAACAGGGUAGUCUGGUCCAAGAGUUCAUAUCGACGACCAGGUUCGCCACCUCGAUGUCGGCUCAUCACAUCCUGGGGCUGGAUAAGGUCCCAAGGGUUGGGCUGUUCGCCCAUUAAAGUGGUACGUGAGCUGGGUUCAGACCGUCGUGAGACAGGUCGGUCUCUAUCCGCUGUGGGCGUAAGGGAUUUGAGAGAAGCUGCCCCUAGUACGAGAGGACCGGGGUGGACGGACCUCUAGUGUGCCAGUUGUUCUGCCAAGAGCAUUGCUGGGUAGCUACGUCCGGCAGAGAUAACCGCUGAAAGCAUCUAAGUGGGAAACUCGUCUCAAGAUUAGAUCCCUCAUCCGUAUGGAGUAAGACCGCUAGAAGACUACUAGUUUGAUAGGCGGCAGGUGUAAGCGCAGUAAUGUGUUCAGCUUAGCCGUACUAAUGGUCGAGGGCUUACGUUU